Molecule: long non-coding RNA, 97 nt
Organism: Herpailurus yagouaroundi (jaguarundi)
Lineage: Eukaryota; Metazoa; Chordata; Mammalia; Carnivora; Felidae
Exons: 2
Source: RefSeq, a predicted model, not a curated record
CCCUGCUCAUGCUCUCUCAAAAAUAAACAUUAAAAAAAAAAAAAAGAAAAGAAAAUAGACUAGCCGAGACAAAAACUACUGAGUGGCUAUAGAUGCA